RNAcentral lists this ribosomal RNA (379 nucleotides) under uncultured archaeon. Its description in RNAcentral is "bacterial SSU rRNA". It matches the Rfam family "Archaeal small subunit ribosomal RNA", at positions 347 to 727 of the family's 1478-position model. The record is from RNAcentral.
ACUUUACAAUGCGGGACACCGCGAUAAGGGGACCUCGAGUGCUGGCAUACAAUGCUGGCUGUCCAGCUGCCUAAAUAGCAGUUGAUAGCAAGGGCCGGGCAAGACCGGUGCCAGCCGCCGCGGUAACACCGGCGGCUCGAGUGGUAACCGCUAUUAUUGGGUCUAAAGGGUCUGUAGCCUGCAGGUUAAGUCUCUUGGUAAAUCCGGCAGCUCAACUGUCGGGGUUCAGGGGAUACUGGUCUGCUCGGGACCGGGAGAGGUGAGAGGUACCUCAGGGGUAGGGGUGAAAUCUUGUAAUCCUUGAGGGACCACCAGUGGCGAAGGCGUCUCACCAGAACGGGUCCGACGGCAAGGGACGAAAGCUAGGGGCACGAACCGG